GUGAGGAAUUUUGCGCAAUGGGGGAAACCCUGACGCAGCAACGCCGCGUGGGUGAAGAAGGCCUUCGGGUCGUAAAGCCCUGUCAGGUGGGAAGAAUGUCCCAGGGGUGAAUAGUCUUUGGGAGUGACGGUACCACCAGAGGAAGCACCGGCUAACUCCGUGCCAGCAGCCGCGGUAAUACGGAGGGUGCGAGCGUUGUUCGGAAUCAUUGGGCGUAAAGGGCGUGCAGGCGGCUGGGUAAGUCUGAUGUGAAAGCCCGGGGCUCAACCCCGGAAGUGCAUUGGAAACUGCUCAGCUUGAGUACCGGAGAGGAUGGGGGAAUUCCCGGUGUAGAGGUGAAAUUCGUAGAGAUCGGGAGGAAUACCAGUGGCGAAGGCGCCCAUCUGGACGGAUACUGACGCUGAGACGCGAAAGCGUGGGGAGCAAACAGGAUUAGAUACCCGGGUAGUCC
This 451-nucleotide ribosomal RNA is filed under the name uncultured bacterium. RNAcentral describes it as "bacterial SSU rRNA". It matches the Rfam family "Bacterial small subunit ribosomal RNA", at positions 354 to 796 of the family's 1533-position model. The record is from RNAcentral.